This 1372-nucleotide ribosomal RNA is filed under the name uncultured bacterium. RNAcentral describes it as "bacterial SSU rRNA". It matches the Rfam family "Bacterial small subunit ribosomal RNA", at positions 28 to 1381 of the family's 1533-position model. The record is from RNAcentral.
GAUGAACGCUGGCGGCGUGCCUAAUACAUGCAAGUCGAGCGAACGGACGAGAAGCUUGCUUCUCUGAUGUUAGCGGCGGACGGGUGAGUAACACGUGGAUAACCUACCUAUAAGACUGGGAUAACUUCGGGAAACCGGAGCUAAUACCGGAUAAUAUUUUGAACCGCAUGGUUCAAAAGUGAAAGACGGUCUUGCUGUCACUUAUAGAUGGAUCCGCGCUGCAUUAGCUAGUUGGUAAGGUGACGGCUUACCAAGGCAACGAUGCAUAGCCGACCUGAGAGGGUGAUCGGCCACACUGGAACUGAGACACGGUCCAGACUCCUACGGGAGGCAGCAGUAGGGAAUCUUCCGCAAUGGGCGAAAGCCUGACGGAGCAACGCCGCGUGAGUGAUGAAGGUCUUCGGAUCGUAAAACUCUGUUAUUAGGGAAGAACAUAUGUGUAAGUAACUGUGCACAUCUUGACGGUACCUAAUCAGAAAGCCACGGCUAACUACGUGCCAGCAGCCGCGGUAAUACGUAGGUGGCAAGCGUUAUCCGGAAUUAUUGGGCGUAAAGCGCGCGUAGGCGGUUUUUUAAGUCUGAUGUGAAAGCCCACGGCUCAACCGUGGAGGGUCAUUGGAAACUGGAAAACUUGAGUGCAGAAGAGGAAAGUGGAAUUCCAUGUGUAGCGGUGAAAUGCGCAGAGAUAUGGAGGAACACCAGUGGCGAAGGCGACUUUCUGGUCUGUAACUGACGCUGAUGUGCGAAAGCGUGGGGAUCAAACAGGAUUAGAUACCCUGGUAGUCCACGCCGUAAACGAUGAGUGCUAAGUGUUAGGGGGUUUCCGCCCCUUAGUGCUGCAGCUAACGCAUUAAGCACUCCGCCUGGGGAGUACGACCGCAAGGUUGAAACUCAAAGGAAUUGACGGGGACCCGCACAAGCGGUGGAGCAUGUGGUUUAAUUCGAAGCAACGCGAAGAACCUUACCAAAUCUUGACAUCCUUUGACAACUCUAGAGAUAGAGCUUUCCCCUUCGGGGGACAAAGUGACAGGUGGUGCAUGGUUGUCGUCAGCUCGUGUCGUGAGAUGUUGGGUUAAGUCCCGCAACGAGCGCAACCCUUAAGCUUAGUUGCCAUCAUUAAGUUGGGCACUCUAAGUUGACUGCCGGUGACAAACCGGAGGAAGGUGGGGAUGACGUCAAAUCAUCAUGCCCCUUAUGAUUUGGGCUACACACGUGCUACAAUGGACAAUACAAAGGGCAGCGAAACCGUGAGGUCAAGCAAAUCCCAUAAAGUUGUUCUCAGUUCGGAUUGUAGUCUGCAACUCGACUACAUGAAGCUGGAAUCGCUAGUAAUCGUAGAUCAGCAUGCUACGGUGAAUACGUUCCCGGGUCU